GACGAACGCUGGCGGCGUGCUUAACACAUGCAAGUCCAACGGAAAGGCCCUGCUUUUGUGGGGUGCUCGAGUGGCGAACGGGUGAGUAACACGUGAGUAACCUGCCCUUGACUUUGGGAUAACUUCAGGAAACUGGGGCUAAUACCGGAUAGGAGCUCCUGCUGCAUGGUGGGGGUUGGAAAGUUUCGGCGGUUGGGGAUGGACUCGCGGCUUAUCAGCUUGUUGGUGGGGUAGUGGCUUACCAAGGCUUUGACGGGUAGCCGGCCUGAGAGGGUGACCGGCCACAUUGGGACUGAGAUACGGCCCAGACUCCUACGGGAGGCAGCAGUGGGGAAUAUUGCACAAUGGGCGGAAGCCUGAUGCAGCAACGCCGCGUGCGGGAUGACGGCCUUCGGGUUGUAAACCGCUUUCGCCUGUGACGAAGCGUGAGUGACGGUAAUGGGUAAAGAAGCACCGGCUAACUACGG
This 467-nucleotide ribosomal RNA is filed under the name uncultured bacterium. Its description in RNAcentral is "partial 16S ribosomal RNA". It matches the Rfam family "Bacterial small subunit ribosomal RNA", at positions 28 to 506 of the family's 1533-position model. The record is from RNAcentral.